ACUCCUACGGGAGGCAGCAGUGGGGAAUAUUGCACAAUGGGCGCAAGCCUGAUGCAGCCAUGCCGCGUGUAUGAAGAAGGCCUCGGUUGNAUUGNUUCAUGCAGUAGAGGUAAGGUGGAGUCGUUAAUAGCGGCCUCAUUUGACGUUAGCUGCAGAAGAAGCACCGGCUAANCUCCGUGCCAGCAGCCGCGGUAAUACGGAGGGUGCGAGCGUUAAUCGCAAGUAUNUGC
This 230-nucleotide ribosomal RNA is filed under the name uncultured bacterium. RNAcentral describes it as "partial 16S ribosomal RNA". It matches the Rfam family "Bacterial small subunit ribosomal RNA", at positions 335 to 558 of the family's 1533-position model. The record is from RNAcentral.